This 74-nucleotide transfer RNA is filed under the name Actinomycetaceae bacterium. RNAcentral's name for it is "tRNA-Ile". It matches the Rfam family "tRNA". Rfam says of the family: Transfer RNA (tRNA) molecules are approximately 80 nucleotides in length. The record is from RNAcentral. Lineage: Bacteria; Bacillati; Actinomycetota; Actinomycetes; Actinomycetales; Actinomycetaceae.
GCCCCGAUAGCUCAGUCGGUUAGAGCAACGAACUCAUAAUUCGUCGGUCCCGGGUUCAAGCCCCGGUCGGGGCA